RNAcentral lists this ribosomal RNA (2924 nucleotides) under Escherichia coli. Its description in RNAcentral is "bacterial LSU rRNA". It matches the Rfam family "Bacterial large subunit ribosomal RNA". Lineage: Bacteria; Pseudomonadati; Pseudomonadota; Gammaproteobacteria; Enterobacterales; Enterobacteriaceae. The record is from RNAcentral.
GGGUUGUGAGGUUAAGCGACUAAGCGUACACGGUGGAUGCCCUGGCAGUCAGAGGCGAUGAAGGACGUGCUAAUCUGCGAUAAGCGUCGGUAAGGUGAUAUGAACCGUUAUAACCGGCGAUUUCCGAAUGGGGAAACCCAGUGUGUUUCGACACACUAUCAUUAACUGAAUCCAUAGGUUAAUGAGGCGAACCGGGGGAACUGAAACAUCUAAGUACCCCGAGGAAAAGAAAUCAACCGAGAUUCCCCCAGUAGCGGCGAGCGAACGGGGAGCAGCCCAGAGCCUGAAUCAGUGUGUGUGUUAGUGGAAGCGUCUGGAAAGGCGCGCGAUACAGGGUGACAGCCCCGUACACAAAAAUGCACAUACUGUGAGCUCGAUGAGUAGGGCGGGACACGUGGUAUCCUGUCUGAAUAUGGGGGGACCAUCCUCCAAGGCUAAAUACUCCUGACUGACCGAUAGUGAACCAGUACCGUGAGGGAAAGGCGAAAAGAACCCCGGCGAGGGGAGUGAAAAAGAACCUGAAACCGUGUACGUACAAGCAGUGGGAGCCUCUUAAUGGGGUGACUGCGUACCUUUUGUAUAAUGGGUCAGCGACUUAUAUUCUGUAGCAAGGUUAACCGAAUAGGGGAGCCGAAGGGAAACCGAGUCUUAACUGGGCGUUAAGUUGCAGGGUAUAGACCCGAAACCCGGUGAUCUAGCCAUGGGCAGGUUGAAGGUUGGGUAACACUAACUGGAGGACCGAACCGACUAAUGUUGAAAAAUUAGCGGAUGACUUGUGGCUGGGGGUGAAAGGCCAAUCAAACCGGGAGAUAGCUGGUUCUCCCCGAAAGCUAUUUAGGUAGCGCCUCGUGAAUUCAUCUCCGGGGGUAGAGCACUGUUUCGGCAAGGGGGUCAUCCCGACUUACCAACCCGAUGCAAACUGCGAAUACCGGAGAAUGUUAUCACGGGAGACACACGGCGGGUGCUAACGUCCGUCGUGAAGAGGGAAACAACCCAGACCGCCAGCUAAGGUCCCAAAGUCAUGGUUAAGUGGGAAACGAUGUGGGAAGGCCCAGACAGCCAGGAUGUUGGCUUAGAAGCAGCCAUCAUUUAAAGAAAGCGUAAUAGCUCACUGGUCGAGUCGGCCUGCGCGGAAGAUGUAACGGGGCUAAACCAUGCACCGAAGCUGCGGCAGCGACACUAUGUGUUGUUGGGUAGGGGAGCGUUCUGUAAGCCUGUGAAGGUGUACUGUGAGGUAUGCUGGAGGUAUCAGAAGUGCGAAUGCUGACAUAAGUAACGAUAAAGCGGGUGAAAAGCCCGCUCGCCGGAAGACCAAGGGUUCCUGUCCAACGUUAAUCGGGGCAGGGUGAGUCGACCCCUAAGGCGAGGCCGAAAGGCGUAGUCGAUGGGAAACAGGUUAAUAUUCCUGUACUUGGUGUUACUGCGAAGGGGGGACGGAGAAGGCUAUGUUGGCCGGGCGACGGUUGUCCCGGUUUAAGCGUGUAGGCUGAUUUUCCAGGCAAAUCCGGAAAAUCAAGGCUGAGGCGUGAUGACGAGGCACUACGGUGCUGAAGCAACAAAUGCCCUGCUUCCAGGAAAAGCCUCUAAGCAUCAGGUAACAUCAAAUCGUACCCCAAACCGACACAGGUGGUCAGGUAGAGAAUACCAAGGCGCUUGAGAGAACUCGGGUGAAGGAACUAGGCAAAAUGGUGCCGUAACUUCGGGAGAAGGCACGCUGAUAUGUAGGUGAAGUCCCUCGCGGAUGGAGCUGAAAUCAGUCGAAGAUACCAGCUGGCUGCAACUGUUUAUUAAAAACACAGCACUGUGCAAACACGAAAGUGGACGUAUACGGUGUGACGCCUGCCCGGUGCCGGAAGGUUAAUUGAUGGGGUUAGCGGUAACGCGAAGCUCUUGAUCGAAGCCCCGGUAAACGGCGGCCGUAACUAUAACGGUCCUAAGGUAGCGAAAUUCCUUGUCGGGUAAGUUCCGACCUGCACGAAUGGCGUAAUGAUGGCCAGGCUGUCUCCACCCGAGACUCAGUGAAAUUGAACUCGCUGUGAAGAUGCAGUGUACCCGCGGCAAGACGGAAAGACCCCGUGAACCUUUACUAUAGCUUGACACUGAACAUUGAGCCUUGAUGUGUAGGAUAGGUGGGAGGCUUUGAAGUGUGGACGCCAGUCUGCAUGGAGCCGGCCUUGAAAUACCACCCUUUAAUGUUUGAUGUUCUAACGUUGGCCCCUUACCGGGGUUGCGGACAGUGUCUGGUGGGUAGUUUGACUGGGGCGGUCUCCUCCUAAAGAGUAACGGAGGAGCACGAAGGUUGGCUAAUCCUGGUCGGACAUCAGGAGGUUAGUGCAAUGGCAUAAGCCAGCUUGACUGCGAGCGUGACGGCGCGAGCAGGUGCGAAAGCAGGUCAUAGUGAUCCGGUGGUUCUGAAUGGAAGGGCCAUCGCUCAACGGAUAAAAGGUACUCCGGGGAUAACAGGCUGAUACCGCCCAAGAGUUCAUAUCGACGGCGGUGUUUGGCACCUCGAUGUCGGCUCAUCACAUCCUGGGGCUGAAGUAGGUCCCAAGGGUAUGGCUGUUCGCCAUUUAAAGUGGUACGCGAGCUGGGUUUAGAACGUCGUGAGACAGUUCGGUCCCUAUCUGCCGUGGGCGCUGGAGAACUGAGGGGGCUGCUCCUAGUACGAGAGGACCGGAGUGGACGCAUCACUGGUGUUCGGGUUGUCAUGCCAAUGGCACUGCCCGGUAGCUAAAUGCGGAAGAGAUAAGUGCUGAAAGCAUCUAAGCACGAAACUUGCCCCGAGAUGAGUUCUCCCUGACUCUUUAAGGGUCCUGAAGGAACGUUGAAGACGACGACGUUGAUAGGCCGGGUGUGUAAGCGCAGCGAUGCGUUGAGCUAACCGGUACUAAUGAACCGUGAGGCUUAACCUUACAACGCCGAAG